GAUGAAGAACGUAGCGAAAUGCGAUACGUAAUGUGAAUUGCAGAAUUCAGUGAAUCAUCGAAUCUUUGAACGCAUAUUGCGCUCUCUGGUAUUCCGGAGAGCAUGCUUGUUUGAGUAUCAGUAAACACCUCAACUUCCAUAUCUUUUUUGAAAUGGGAGUUGGACUUGAGUGAUCCCAACGCUUUUCCUCACCGAAAAGUGGCGGGUUACUUGAAAUGCAGGUGCAGCUGGACUUUUCUCUGAGCUAUAAGCAUAUCUAUUUAGUCUGCCUAAAAAACAGAUUAUUACCUUUGCUGCAGCUAACAUAAAGGAGAUUAGUUCUUGUGCUGACUGAUGCAGCAUUCACAAAGACGGCUUCGGCCGACUUUGUAAACUCGAUCUCAAAUCAAGUAAGACUACCCGCUGAACUUAAGCAUAUCAAUAAGCGGAGGA
This 432-nucleotide unclassified non-coding RNA is filed under the name soil metagenome. RNAcentral describes it as "partial contains 5.8S ribosomal RNA, internal transcribed spacer 2, and large subunit ribosomal RNA". The stretch from base 1 to 120 matches the Rfam family "5.8S ribosomal RNA", at positions 35 to 154 of the family's 154-position model. The record is from RNAcentral.